RNAcentral lists this transfer RNA (72 nucleotides) under Ornithorhynchus anatinus (platypus). It matches the Rfam family "tRNA". Rfam says of the family: Transfer RNA (tRNA) molecules are approximately 80 nucleotides in length. Their secondary structure includes four short double-helical elements and three loops (D, anti-codon, and T loops). Lineage: Eukaryota; Metazoa; Chordata; Mammalia; Monotremata; Ornithorhynchidae. The record is from Rfam by way of RNAcentral.
AGCAGCGUGGCUCAGUGGAAAGAGCCUGGGCUUGGGAGCCAGAGGUCAUGAGUUCAAAUCCCUGCUCUGCCA